Molecule: unclassified non-coding RNA, 1551 nt
Filed under: Hevea brasiliensis (rubber tree)
Lineage: Eukaryota; Viridiplantae; Streptophyta; Magnoliopsida; Malpighiales; Euphorbiaceae
Source: RNAcentral
CGCCAACCUAUUCCUCACUCUCUUCUUCACUUACUCCACUGCUCUUACCCUUUCUCUUCCAAGCUACCUUCUCUCAAGACUCGCUUAUCCUUCCCUGUCAAAGCAACUACUGUAAUGGCUUCCUCUGCUAAGAAGGUUUUGGUGCCGAUUGCCAAUGGAACGGAGCCGAUGGAGGCCGUGAUAACUAUCGAUGUACUAAGAAGAGCCGGCGCGGAUGUCAUCGUAGCUUCUGUCGAGAAGCAGCUACGAGUUGAAGCUGGUCACGGCGUCAGGAUCGUCGCCGAUGCUCUCAUUUCUGAUUGCUCCGGCGCCGUUUAUGAUCUCAUCACUCUCCCUGGGGGCCUACCAGGUGCUACAAACCUUAAAAAUUCUGCUGCUUUGGAAAGCAUGGUGAAGAAACAGGCUGCAGAUGGGCGGCUUUAUGCAGCAGUUUGUGCUUCUCCUGCAGUGGCACUUGGCUCAUGGGGGCUGCUAAAGGGAUUGAAAGCAACUUGUUACCCAUCAUUUAUGGAGCAGCUGCAAUCUUGUGCAACAGCUGUCGAAUCACGAGUGCAGCAGGAUGGCAUAGUUGUCACAAGUCGUGGACCUGGCACUACCAUGGAGUUUGCUGUUGCACUAGUUGAGCAAUUGUAUGGGAAAGAAAAGGCGAAUGAAGUUUCUGGCCCUCUGGUGAUGCGUACCAACCAUGGGGAUGAAUAUAUCAUAAAGGAGCUAAAUCCAGUGAAGUGGACAUUUGACAAUAUUCCUCAGAUUCUUGUGCCUAUUGCUAAUGGUACAGAGGAAAUGGAAGCUAUUAUGAUCAUUGAUAUUCUACGACGAGCUAAAGCAAAUGUUGUGGUGGCCUCUGUUGAGGACAAGCUGGAAAUUUUGGCUUCUCGUAAAGUUAAACUGGAGGCAGAUAUGCUCCUUGAUGAGGCUGCUAAGCUUUCUUAUGACCUAAUUGUCUUACCAGGUGGGUUGGGUGGUGCCCAAAAAUUUGCAGUCUCUGAAAAACUGGUAGAUACGCUAAAGAAGCAGAGGGAAUCAAAUAGACCAUAUGGGGCAAUAUGUGCAUCUCCAGCUUUAGUAUUGGAGCCUCAUGGCUUGCUCAAGGGUAAAAAAGCCACAGCUUUUCCCGCGAUGUGUGACAAGCUGUCAGAUAAGAGUGAAACCGAAAACAGGGUUGUGGUUGAUGGCAACCUCAUAACUAGUAGAGGGCCUGGAACUUCAAUGGAGUUUGCCUUGGCAAUAGUGGAGAAGCUGUUUGGACGCCCGAAAGCACUGGAGCUUGCAAAGACGAUGCUUUUUACACACCCAUAGAGCUUGUAUCUGUGUGCCUUCUCGUGUUAUGAGGAACAUAUUAAUGCUAUAGAGAGAAACAUGAGAGAACUGAACUCGAAUUCGUUAUGAAUUCAGGUUGCGGUUGUAUUGUGUAUAACUUUGUGUUCAUAUAUAAAUGAGUUUUGAAGACUGCAAAAUGAUUUAGAGCCCCCUUUUGGCAAUGCAGAAACUCUUAAAAGAAAAAUCGUCGGAGGGGUAAGGAGAUAGCAGCCUUUCAAGGAUAAGUUGAGC